RNAcentral lists this ribosomal RNA (253 nucleotides) under uncultured bacterium. RNAcentral's name for it is "partial 16S ribosomal RNA". It matches the Rfam family "Bacterial small subunit ribosomal RNA", at positions 524 to 776 of the family's 1533-position model. The record is from RNAcentral.
UACGUAGGGUGCGAGCGUUAAUCGGAAUUACUGGGCGUAAAGCGUGCGCAGGCGGUUCGUGAUGUCUGAUGUGAAAGCCCCGGGCUCAACCUGGGAAUUGCAUUGGAAACUAGCGGGCUGGAGUGUGGCAGAGGGGGGUGGAAUUCCACGUGUAGCAGUGAAAUGCGUAGAGAUGUGGAGGAACACCGAUGGCGAAGGCAGCUCGCUGGGACGUGACUGACGCUGAGACGCGAAAGCGUGGGGAGCAAACAGG